Molecule: ribosomal RNA, 941 nt
Filed under: Empicoris sp.
Lineage: Eukaryota; Metazoa; Arthropoda; Insecta; Hemiptera; Reduviidae
Description: SSU rRNA
Rfam family: Eukaryotic small subunit ribosomal RNA
Source: RNAcentral
AACCGCAAAGGGCUCAGUAAACCAGUUUUAAUUUACUAGAGUUUUUACGUUUCGUACGUGGAUACCUGUGGUAAUUCUAGAGCUAAUACAUGCAAUAAAGUCCGGACCAGCAAUGGAAUGGACGCUUUUAUUAGAUCAAAACCAUUCGCUCAAUUUAUUUUGGGCGUUGUUUUGAUGAAUCUAGAUAACACAUGUGAUCGUAUAGUCUUGUACUGACGACGUCUCUUUCAAACGCCUGACUUAUCAGCUGUCGAUGGUAGACUCUGUGUCUACCAUGGCCCUCACGGGUAACGGGGAAUCAGGGUUCGAUUCCGGAGAGGGAGCCUGAGAAACGGCUACCACAUCCAAGGAAGGCAGCAGGCACGCAAAUUACCCACUCCCGGCACGGGGAGGUAGUGACAAAAAAUAACGAUACGGGACUCUAUUGAGGCCCCGUAAUCGGAAUGAGUACACUUUAAAUCCUUUAACAAGGAUCCAUUGGAGGGCAAGUCUGGUGCCAGCAGCCGCGGUAAUUCCAGCUCCAAUAGCGUAUAUUAAAGUUGUUGCGGUUAAAAAGCUCGUAGUUGGUUCUGCGUGCCGCGCUGUCGGUUCGCCGCCUGUCGGUGUAACUGGCAUGUCGCGGCAUGUCCUGUCGGUGGUGAACGAGGUUCCCGGCGUUAAACUUGCUUCGGUAAGUUUUUUGCCGUGCGUAAUGUCGUUUGCCGAUCUCUCCUACUCCGGUGCUCUUAAACGAGUGUCGAGGUAGGCCGACACGGUCACUUUGAACAAAUUAGAGUGCUUAAAGCAGGCUGAAAUAUCUGCCUGAAUAGUAGUGCAUGGAAUGAUAAAAUAGGACCUCGGUUCUAUUUUGUUGGUUUUAGGAAGAUGAGGUAAUGAUCAAUGUGGACUGGCGGGGGCAUUCGUAUUGCGACGUUAGAGGUGAAAUUCUUGGAUCGUCGCAG